Molecule: non-coding RNA, 570 nt
Organism: Plectropomus leopardus (leopard coralgrouper)
Lineage: Eukaryota; Metazoa; Chordata; Actinopteri; Perciformes; Serranidae
Source: RefSeq, a predicted model, not a curated record
GACACACUCAUAAAAUCAUGUUUGUGGUUAAAGAGCGCGAGCAUCGUCACACGGCUGCUCUGGACACCUUCACCUCCCUGCGUUGGUGCAUUUGUGACAUGUUUUGAAGCUUUAACAUCUUUCAUCGAUAAGGUGCAGAUAACAUUUCAUCCUCAUAAAACCACAACUGUCAAUCUCCUGAAGCAGGAUGGAAAUCAGUAAAAACAUCUGUCACGGGAAAUACCCACAAAAUGUCCAGUAAGACACGACGGCAGAGGCUCACUGCGGCUGCUCUCUCUGUGACUCCCAUGGGCGAAGACAACAGAAAGUGACCCUGCUUGUAUUUAUUCGUGAGUAAAUCCAUCUGUGUGUUCACUUCCCACUGGCAAAGACACAUUUCUCCUGAAUAAUUAAUAGUUCAGACCAGAACAGCUGCUUAGAAGACAAGACUGUAAAUCCAUUACAAUAAAACAAGACGAGUCAUUAAAAGCAAUGCAGCCAUUGCUUUUAAAUGAAAAUAAAAUCCAGGUCGAAUUUUAGUCACUUCAUAUUCAGUUCAGGAUUUGCAUUUAAGAAGUUGUCGAGGGGUAA